UACAGAGGGUGCAAGCGUUGUUCGGAAUCAUUGGGCGUAAAGGGCGUGUAGGCGGUUUGUUAAGUCAUGUGUGAAAUCCCUCGGCUCAACCGGGGAACGACGCAUGAAACUGGCAAGCUAGAGUACCAAAGAGGGGGGUGGAAUUCCCGGUGUAGUGGUGAAAUGCGUAGAUAUCGGGAGGAACACCAGUGGCGAAGGCGACUUCCUGGCCUGUUCUUGACGCUGAGGCGCGAAAGCUAGGGUAGCAAACGGG
RNAcentral lists this ribosomal RNA (253 nucleotides) under uncultured bacterium. RNAcentral's name for it is "partial 16S ribosomal RNA". It matches the Rfam family "Bacterial small subunit ribosomal RNA", at positions 524 to 776 of the family's 1533-position model. The record is from RNAcentral.